GACCUCAACAUAAAAAAGAGGAUGAACCUGGUCCGUCUAUUUGUACGCAUUUGCUUAACUCACUUCUAACCUUCCUAGACACUGCAAAGAACACAUAAUGAAAACUACCUGGUCAAGGCGGUACAGGGGAACGAGAAAGGGGUUUGAUAAGGAGUUUGGGUAUGUCCCGCUUACAUCGAGGUUGGAUUCGGGGCAACAUGGAUACGAGACUAUUGAUUGAAGUGAAGUUUGGAAUCAUUGUGGUUUUCUAUCUUCAGAGAUUACCAAAUUGGAGAAUCACCAAGGCCUUUCAGCGGUUUGACGCACCCCCCUAAGCUAGACGCUUUACUUACCUGACCUCAAAGAGAAUAGAAUGAGUCGCCCUAGCUCUUACCAAGAGUUUGGCUCCUUAGUUGCUAGGUU
RNAcentral lists this long non-coding RNA (402 nucleotides) under Gossypium barbadense (sea-island cotton). RNAcentral describes it as "long non-coding RNA (GBAR_LNC020782)". The record is from RNAcentral. Lineage: Eukaryota; Viridiplantae; Streptophyta; Magnoliopsida; Malvales; Malvaceae.